This 66-nucleotide transfer RNA is filed under the name Perna canaliculus (greenshell mussel). RNAcentral's name for it is "tRNA-Glu". Lineage: Eukaryota; Metazoa; Mollusca; Bivalvia; Mytilida; Mytilidae. The record is from RNAcentral.
GGUUUGAGUGGUGUAAAGCACAUAAAGUUUUCAUCUUUAAAGUGGGUAGUUAGGACCCCUUAAAUU